RNAcentral lists this unclassified non-coding RNA (364 nucleotides) under Hevea brasiliensis (rubber tree). The record is from RNAcentral. Lineage: Eukaryota; Viridiplantae; Streptophyta; Magnoliopsida; Malpighiales; Euphorbiaceae.
CAAAUUCAUCCUUCUAAUAAAAUCAAAAUAAAAACCCUAAAAAUUCCAAACAACUUCCAUCUAGUUGCAAAGCCACCCAAAGUUUAAAAUUUAUAAUUUUUAGCAAAAAAAAAAAAAAAAAAUCCAAGCCUUCUCUUUCAUCCACAAGGGCACACUAUUUCUUCAACCUCCACCCUUAAUCAGUGCUUCCUUCUAACUAAUAACCAUUCUCCUCCUCUCUAAUCUAUUUCUUUCCUUCUCUCUCUAUCCAUCUACAUCCCCUUUUCAUUUCCAGCUCUUCAUUGCCGCCCUUUUUCUCUCAUCUCCCUCUUUCUAGGGUUUUGGUUCUUCUAUUCAGGCAUAUCCAUCUCGCUUUCUCUCUGCU